Molecule: transfer RNA, 37 nt
Filed under: Incarvillea arguta
Lineage: Eukaryota; Viridiplantae; Streptophyta; Magnoliopsida; Lamiales; Bignoniaceae
Description: partial tRNA-Phe
Source: RNAcentral
GUCAGGAUAGCUCAGCCGGUAGAGCAGAGGACUGAAA